GAAAGAUGAAAAGAACUUUGAAAAGAGAGUUAAAUAGUACGUGAAAUUGUUGAAAGGGAAACGAUUGAAGCCAGUCGUACCUUCGGGUAAUCAGCCUUUCGGGUGCGAUUCUGUGGGGUUUGAGGAGCUUAACACCUUCAUGCUUUGCAUAUUCGUGCUCUUGGGUGUACUUGCCCGUGUGGUUGGUUAACAUCAAUUUUGGUGGUCAUAAAAUGACUGGAGGAAUGUAGCUUCGAUCUCGUAUUGAAGUGUUAUA
RNAcentral lists this ribosomal RNA (256 nucleotides) under uncultured Rhizophagus. Its description in RNAcentral is "partial large subunit ribosomal RNA". It matches the Rfam family "Eukaryotic large subunit ribosomal RNA", at positions 359 to 630 of the family's 3401-position model. The record is from RNAcentral. Lineage: Eukaryota; Fungi; Glomeromycota; Glomeromycetes; Glomerales; Glomeraceae.